Molecule: ribosomal RNA, 624 nt
Filed under: uncultured bacterium
Lineage: Bacteria
Description: bacterial SSU rRNA
Rfam family: Bacterial small subunit ribosomal RNA (bases 1-540)
Source: RNAcentral
CCUACGGGAGGCAGCAGUGGGGAAUUUUGGACAAUGGGCGCAAGCCUGAUCCAGCAAUGCCGCGUGAGUGAAGAAGGCCUUCGGGUUGUAAAGCUCUUUUGUCAGGGAAGAAACGGUGGGGGCUAAUAUCUCCUGCUAAUGACGGUACCUGAAGAAUAAGCACCGGCUAACUACGUGCCAGCAGCCGCGGUAAUACGUAGGGUGCAAGCGUUAAUCGGAAUUACUGGGCGUAAAGCGUGCGCAGGCGGUUUUGUAAGUUUGUCGUGAAAUCCCCGGGCUCAACCUGGGAAUGGCGAUGAAGACUGCAAGGCUAGAAUCUGGCAGAGGGGGGUAGAAUUCCACGUGUAGCAGUGAAAUGCGUAGAGAUGUGGAGGAACACCGAUGGCGAAGGCAGCCCCCUGGGUCAAGAUUGACGCUCAUGCACGAAAGCGUGGGGAGCAAACAGGAUUAGAUACCCUGGUAGUCCACGCCCUAAACGAUGUCUACUAGUUGUCGGGUUUUAAUUAACUUGGUAACGCAGCUACGCGUGAGUAGACCGCCGUCGGGUAGGUACGGUCGCGAGAAGUUAAACGUAACAAUAGAGUAGUACGCGUGAGAGUGCGACGACGACGACGAGGGAGGAGG